AGCAGUAGCCACGGUAAUACGUAGGUGGCAAGCGUUGUUCGGAAUUAUUGGGCGUAAAGGGCUCGCAGGCGGUUUCUUAAGUCUGAUGUGAAAGCCCCCGGCUCAACCGGGGAGGGUCAUUGGAAACUGGGAAACUUGAGUGCAGAAGAGGAGAGUGGAAUUCCACGUGUAGCGGUGAAAUGCGUAGAGAUGUGGAGGAACACCAGUGGCGAAGGCGACUCUCUGGUCUGUAACUGACGCUGAGGAGCGAAAGCGUGGGGAGCGAACAGGAUUAGAUACCCGCGUAGUCCCUGUCUCUUAUAC
RNAcentral lists this ribosomal RNA (303 nucleotides) under uncultured bacterium. Its description in RNAcentral is "partial 16S ribosomal RNA". It matches the Rfam family "Bacterial small subunit ribosomal RNA", at positions 507 to 807 of the family's 1533-position model. The record is from RNAcentral.